CUUGGGUGCCCCGGCAAGGGGAGCGUGGGGCUCCGGGGGGCUGGUCUGUGCGAAACGGUCCUGGGCGCGCCUCGGCUGACCUGUCAGAUGGGAGGUUACGAGUUUGCUUGUCAAAAAGGGUGAUUCGGAGUGCAAACGUGGAAAGCUUGGGUUGGCUUGUUGUCUGCUCAGGUGGACGAGUUUCUUGACCUGUGUAUUUUUAACUCGGCUUUUUAAGGGGGGGACAUGGCAGUCUUCCGUGAAAAUCAAAUCCGCAACUUUGCACCAUGGCAGAGUCGGCUGCGGUGGAGUGCGGAGGGAAGGCGGCUGUAGCCAGCCCUUGUUCUACCCAAAUCCAGGGCGUGCUGUAGAAUUCAUGGGUGCUUAUAGAACUGCACAAAUAAAUGCGCCAACGGACACUGUGGAUACGUGAAAAAAUUGUCGGUCCUUCAGAAGUUCUUAACUCAGCGUUGUUGGUGUGGAGCAGGGAGGCUGUCUUCGGCAAGAGGCCGGGAAGUCCCUGGGUGAGCCCUGCGUUGGGCUUGAACGGGAUUUCUCCCUGUUGGAGAAUGGGUCUGGGCACGGUCUGGAUCCGCACCUUGUUGUAAGGUGACAUCUGCUAACUGGAGCAGUGGCGCGGACAAACCCGUCUUCGGAAAGAAACUUUGUUGUUGUUGUUGUGAACCUUGUAGUGAGAUCCUUGGCCGGCAAUAGUUAAAGGGGAUUCCUUUGCACCCCCUGCCCUGGGGGCCUGCUCCUGCUACCGGCAAGUAUGCUUUCUGUUGUUCCUUAGGAACAGCAUAUACUGCAAUGUCAACGAUUUGAGUUAGGUCCAGGUUAUUAUUAUUACCUUUUCUAAGGUACUUAUCUAAGCAAUCUCAUAGGGUAGCUGUAGCUGGGAUGAUGUUUCCACGGUCAUUAAAUAAGAUGCGCUACGGAAAAAAGGCCCAAAGUCUCUUAAUUUAGUGUCUUGACAGCAAGGGUUCUGAGAGAGAGGGAGGAGGAGUCUUGUUUCUUGUCUGAUUUGUAGAUCAGCAGAUGAUUGCAGUCAUCCCAGGCUAUUGUUAUUUUUACAGGACCUAAUUGAUCAAGGGCUAGACCAGGACUAGCCUGACUCUGCUGUCUCCCACUGAAGUUAAUGGCAGCCUUGAUAGACACAGCAUGAGUCCCUUUGGAUGGUAUAGCUCAUGAAUAUUCAUCUAUUUAUCCAAGUUAAGCUGCACUUGAAAACUAGCUAGUUAGGUCCUAAAAAAAGCCAACCUCAAAACCCAACAACUUAUUUUUAAUUUUAGCGGGGCUGAAAGCUGAUAGUCUGUUUGCUGCUGCUGCAGUACUUUGAAUAAAGCAGCUGAUCAGAACGGCAUCUUCAGGACCCGCCUCGGGUACCUGUGAUGUGCUGAACUACAAGGGACGCACGUGUUUUUAACAGCCCUCUGAGCUUUGCUCUGUGAGCGCAUCGCAUAAGUUUAUAGAGGGGAGCAAUAAGCAGUUCAUCUGUUGCAUUUUGGACACAGGACUUAUGAUGUGAAUCUAAAAUUCACAUUCUGUCUCAUCUCAUGAGGCAGGUGCUUGAAGUUGGAGAUCAUGUCAUCCUUCUUAGAGAAGCCGUUGUGUGCUGGCUGCACUGAACAUGGGUUAUCUUUGCAGAGAGAAAUACGUGAGAUUUUGGCAGGGAGGUGUCACGUAUGUGCAUCUGGCCAGCAGGGCUGAUGUGCUGAACACCACGACUGAGAACAGGGACUGACUCUGCAGCCAGUAGAGCUGUUACCCCACAAAAAUGGGACUGGAAGUCGGGAGUCCCAACUCCUGGCAUUCUGUGCUGUUUUGCAAGUAGCUACUCUUAGGACAACUUUCUAGCAGAUCUGCCAAAGAAAAUCAUGUAGAAGUUGUCCCGUACCUCAUCUGAUGGAAAAAAACCACAAAUAGAAGCCGUCUGCACAGUUGGGAUCCUUAUAAUAAAGGAUGGUCUAACGAGGUUCCGUAUGAACAGAAUUUUGCUGUCCAGUCUUUAUUUUGUUAAAAAGGCUAAAAUUUUAAGAGUUCUGGAUAUACUAAGAUUCUACUCCAGUUUUCCUUGUGUAUUCUGUAUUUACUGCUAUGGCGUCUUUAUCUUUUUUCCCCCAGAUGACCCUUACUGGUUAGAAUAGACCCAUUUUGGUGAAGACUCGAACUGUGCAAACCGCGUAGCAAAGACGGUUCUUUCCAGCUGCACCGGGAAGGCGUGCGGUGGAGGAGGCAGACGAGAGACGGGCGCGUUCUCGCCGCUAAAGCGGGUCUGUGUUGCUUCUGGAAUGGGAGCCCCAUCUUGCCCCUGCCAUACAGUUUCCUCCCGGCCAGGCCAUGCGCCCGCUUGCACAGGGUCCCCGUGAGAUCUCCAGGUUCAAGCAGAAACAGAGACUGCCGGUGGGGAGAGUUUCCCACGUGCCGUCUGGUUGCAGGAGGGCUCUGCUCUCUGCGUAUAUCGCGCUGUGACAGCUCAAGUUAGGUUCUUGACGCGCUCAAGUAUCCCAGCGUGGCGUUGGUUCCCUGCACGUAACAGAGUGAGAAUAUGCUCACUUCCCAAGAGGUGGUACGGUUCCUCUUGGAACAAAAACCCUCACACCUUGAUGCAGCUGCCACUGGGUACUUGUGAAAAAGAUGGAUACAAAGUUUUCAUGUCCAGUUAAGGCUUAACUGAAGCUGCAAAACUGUGAACAGCCACUCAUCACAGUAAAUG
This is a long non-coding RNA of Egretta garzetta (little egret), 2695 nucleotides long. RefSeq lists it as uncharacterized. Lineage: Eukaryota; Metazoa; Chordata; Aves; Pelecaniformes; Ardeidae. The record is from RefSeq and is a predicted model, not a curated record. The transcript has 3 exons.